RNAcentral lists this small RNA (489 nucleotides) under Arabidopsis thaliana (thale cress). RNAcentral's name for it is "ATSL117820". Lineage: Eukaryota; Viridiplantae; Streptophyta; Magnoliopsida; Brassicales; Brassicaceae. The record is from RNAcentral.
GUAUGCAACAUUCGAUCAGUGUCCAUGAAGGUUCUCCAGUUACUAAUGAAAAAUGUAUGCUCCUGAGACAACUCAUCGUGCCUUGAUAAAUAAUCAAUUCCAUGGACAGUGGUCGAUAUAAGAUCCUCUGAUUUCUAAGAAAGACCAGACCUCUGAUUACAUAUCACCGACAACUUCUGCUUCUUUCCAUUUAAGAUAUCUUAUGAUUUCUAAGAAAGACCAGACCUCUGAUAGGACUGAAUCUUUCAAAUACAAAGUCAUACGGAAUUUUCAUGUGACUAGUGGCGGCUACAUGAGACGACUUCUCAUCCGGAUUAUGAGGCUGAGGUGAGGAGAAGAAAAAUACUUCAUCGUUGUUUUUGCAGGCAAACAAGAGCUGUGGGCGAGCCAAAGAUCUGGUCAAGAACAUCACGGUAAAAUAGGGAUGGCCAAGUAUGGAAGCCCAUAGCUUUGAUAACAUCUCGCUAUAAAUUUUUUUUUUUUUUGAAA